ACACUGAUUCCCUGCUCCUUCAACUUCCCUUACUUAUUAUGGUCCGUCACGUGAUUCACUUCUUCCCACAUUUUUCAAAAAACACGCUACUAACGGGAACAAAUAGCCCUCGACAAAACGAAGCAAAUUUACACCUAGUCCACACGGAAAGUACACUAGGGUUGCUCACAUUCAAUUGCUACCAUCCCUCUUCCUCUCCCUCUCCCUCUCCCUCUCCCUCUCCCCUGAAAGUAGAUAACGCAAAUACCAACAAUUUCGUAUAAGAUAAUUUAAAGCUAAACUACCUUCCAAAUAAUACCUUCAAAUUAAUUUCAUUUUCAUAUCCGCCGUGCCACCGCCGCGUCCGAGCAAUCGCGAGUUCACCGGGUAAAGCGCCGACAAAAGACACGGUAGAGUGGAACCACACGAGAAAAACUUACUCUCCGACCGCCGUGGAUGGGCCAAUCAGCUUCCACCACUACUGCAGUUCAAAAUCACAUCCAUCAUUCAAGGUCAAAAUCUAGAUCUACCGGCGUUAUCUCGCCGAUGAAGGAAAAUGAGGAUUCUGAUGAUGUUAUCGACGUGUUCGAGGUUGGAGAGUUUGAUUAUUCAUCUAAUAUUCCGGAUGAGUGCGUGGCUUCUAUCUUCCAGUCUCUUAGCUCGGGUGACCGUAAACGCUGCUCCCUCGUCUGCCGCCGUUGGUUCCGGAUCGAAGGUCAAAGCCGUCACCGUUUAUCGCUCAACGCGCAAUCGGACCUUGCUUCUGUGAUUCCGUCCAUUUUCUCUAGGUUUGAUUCGGUUACGAAGCUCGCUUUGAAAUGCGACCGUAGAUCUACGAGUAUCGGAGACGAUGCAUUGGUCCUCAUCUCCCUGCGGUGCCGUAACCUCACACGUUUGAAGCUUCGAACAUGCCGGGAGAUUACUGACGCCGGAAUUGAAGCUUUUGCGAAGAAUUGCAAGGGUUUGAAAAAGCUGUCUUGUGGAUCGUGUUCCUUCGGUGCCAAAGGCAUGAAUGCCGUGUUGGAUAACUGCUCCUCCCUUGAAGAGUUAUCAGUGAAACGGCUCCAUGGCAUUACAGAUGGCGCAGCGGCAGAGCCAAUCGGUCCUGGUAUUGCCGCAGCGUCUCUCAGAGUUAUAUGCUUAAAGGAGCUCUAUAAUGGACAGUGUUUUGGACCGUUGAUUAUAGGAUCGAAGAAUUUGCGGACGUUGAAGCUCUUCCGAUGCUCUGGAGAUUGGGAUAGGCUUCUGGAAGUGAUAGCUGAUCAGGUAUGUGAAGUGGUUGAAGUUCAUCUUGAGAGGCUUCAGGUUAGUGACAUUGGACUUGCUGCUCUCUCUAAAUGUUCGAAUCUCGAAAUUUUGCACCUUGUUAAAACACCAGAAUGCACGAAUUUCGGCUUAGUGGCUGUUGCUGAACAUUGUAAGCUUCUCCGGAAGCUCCAUAUUGAUGGAUGGAAGACUAACCGGAUAAGUGAUGAAGGGUUAAUUUCUGUUGCUAAACAUUGUCCCAAUUUGCAAGAAUUGGUUUUGAUUGGUGUGAAUCCAACGCGUGCUAGUUUGGAGAAAUUGGCUGCAAACUGUCUCAACUUAGAGAGAUUAGCUCUAUGUGGGAGUGAGACUGUUGGGGAUCCCGAGCUUUCGUGCAUAGCCUCAAAGUGUAUUGCAUUGAGAAAACUAUGUAUAAAAAGUUGCCCUGUAUCCGACCAAGGUAUGGAAGCGCUGGCUAGCGGAUGUCCAAAUUUGGUAAAAGUGAAGGUUAAGAAGUGUAGAUUGGUGACUUCUGAGGCCGCAGAUUGGUUGAGGACCACUCGAGGUUCUCUUGCUGUGAACUUGGAUGCAAAUGAACCUGAAAUUCCUGAUGCAAGCGCCAGUGAUAGUGUUGCGAAUGAGGUUGGCCAGGAAAAUAGGCAGAUGGCUAGCCAAGUAAGCGGUAGUGCUAAUAUUGCAUUAAGCAAUACUGGAAGGUCAAAUUCCUUUAAGGCAAGGUUAGGACUCAUAACGGGACGGAAUUUGAUGGCUUGCACAUUUAGAAGGUGGUCAAGCUUUGGUGGCAGUUUCAGUUCCAGAAAUAAUUAGAGAAGGCAUUGACUGAUUUUCAAUUAGAGAAACCAGCAUUGAUGUGUUCAAUGGAUGAAAUCUUGUAUGAGGAUGGAGAUAAAGAUAUGUGGUGUGUGUCAUUAUCCAUAAAAAGUUCAUUUGCCUUUCCAACGGUCUGAAAAACUGGUGAAUCUAUUAGUCACCACUGGAGGUGGGGAUAAGCUCCAAUCACAUUGUUGCUGGAAUCUUUUAUUUAUUCAUUCAGCAAGGUGCAACUUAAUGAAUGGACUUGAACUUAAUUA
Molecule: RNA transcript, 2315 nt
Organism: Nicotiana attenuata
Lineage: Eukaryota; Viridiplantae; Streptophyta; Magnoliopsida; Solanales; Solanaceae
Gene name: F-box protein At1g47056-like
Exons: 2
Source: RefSeq, a predicted model, not a curated record